RNAcentral lists this long non-coding RNA (655 nucleotides) under Phasianus colchicus (ring-necked pheasant). RNAcentral describes it as "lncRNA (ENSPCLG00000015989.1)". The record is from RNAcentral. Lineage: Eukaryota; Metazoa; Chordata; Aves; Galliformes; Phasianidae.
UCUUGGGUUGGGUUGGAGUCUCCAUUUUGGGGUUUUGGGUUGGGUUGGGGGUCUUCACUUGGGGUCAUGGAGUUGGGGUCCCCAUUUUGGGGUCUUGGGUUGGGUUGGGGGUCUCCAUUUGGGCUCAUAGGAUGGGUUGGGGGUCCCCAUUUGGGGUGAUGGAUUUGGGUUCCCCAUUUUGGGGUCUUGGGUUGGAUUGGGGUCUCUAUUUGGGGUCAUGGAGUUGGGUCCCCAUUUUGGGGUCUUGGGUUGGGGUCUCCAUUUGGGGUCAUGGAGUUGGGGUCCCCAUUUUGGGGUCUUGGGUUGGAUUGGGCAUCUCUAUUUGGGGUCAAGGAGGUGGGGUCCUAUUUUGNNNNNNNNNNNNNNNNNUGGGGCCUUGGGUUGGGUUGGGGUCUCUAUUUGGGGUCUUGGGAUGGGUGGGGGUCUCCGUUUGGGGUCAUGGAGUUGGGUCCCCAUUUUGGGGUCUUGGGAUGGAUUGGGGGUCUCUAUUUGGGGUCAAGGAGUUGGGGUCUCCAUUUGGGGUCUUGGGUUGGGUUGGGGGUCUCCAUUUGGGGUCAAGGAGUUGGGGUCCCCAUUUUGGGGUCUUGGGUUGGAUUGGGCAUCUCUAUUUGGGGUGAUGGAGUUGGGGUCUCCAUUUGGGGUCUUGGGUUGGGUC